UUCCCUGCUUGACAGACCCCUUUUCGUACAAUGUCCUUGGCAUAAGUGGAAGUCUUCAAAUAUGGAAACUGGGAGUUCAUUCAUUAUGAUUUCUGGAGACUUCUGAUUUCGGGUCACCUGAAAACCCAUUUAUAUACCCGCCUUUCUGGUCUAUAUUUUACUAACAUGCUUUUCAGGUUUAAACCCAUGGAGAUUUCUGGCUCUAAAAGACGAAAUCUCUGCUCUUCAGCAAGGAGGAGAAAUAACAAGGAGAAGAAAGAAGAACCAAUGUCAGGCGGAAGGAUUCUAGGAGAUUGCCAGUGAAAUGCGUAUUGAAAUCUCUAUGAGACCGUGCUCCAGGAAUGUAAGGCAAACACAAAAACCGAUGUCUACAGACUACAAUUUAGCAGUAAUCGCAUUAGAAUCUCUGACUGGGAAUUCUCCUGGAGAGGCAAUGCAUGGUGUUGGUUUACCACAAUGGUGAACUUCAAUUGUGAAGGAAGAAUGGACAAUUGAAGUUUUUGAUGUCGAAAUACAUCUACAACAGGAGAUGAGUUGCUAAUACAUUGAAAUUAGCUUUACAUCAUGGUGAUCCGUUACCAGCCGCACGACCAGAAGUCCAACGACUGGAAGAAAUGAAACCUGAAUUUGCUUCCAGUUCUGGUGAUGAUAGUGGUGCUGAUGCUGGUGUUAGUGGCUCUGGUUAUGGUGCCGCACUGCCGCUAUCGUCCCCCCUUCAAAAUGACUGAGUAAAAUGAUUCUCUUAUCUCACCUUUUAGAAGUUUCUGUUAUUUUUCGUAGGACAUUAUAGACAUAAUAUUAGUGGUAGUGAGGCAUUUGUUCUUGAUGGGCUAUGGGUUUCAGACUUUACAUAUGCAGCAUACUCUGUUAACAAAUCUUGAUGGGUAAGCAUUUAUUCUGUCUUCUCUACUUUUAUACUUCUCUGUCAUCAAAUCAAAUACUGGUGGCUGUUUAGGUCUAUAUAUAUCACUACUGGUGGCUGGUGGUUGGAGACAAAUUCACUUGGAGAUGCUUCGUAUCUGACGAUUUCAUGACAUAAUCCACCGGCGAGAGUAAUUUGCUAUUGCUUUUAUCUCACCCACUUUGACAAUUCUAGUAGUAUAUAUCACUACUCCGAUGUUGCCUUAUCACAUAAUGUUGUGUGCAUUUGUGGAAGGCUGCAGAUUUUUUUCAGAAACGAGUGUAUGUUGUAGGGCCUACGGCCCAUCUAUAUAGUUAGGGUUCACCUUCCAUGUAUAUAAAGGAUAUUAUAGCUAUGUAAUAAGGUUGAUCCAUUAUCAAUAGAAAUUUCUCUUAUGUCUC
Papaver somniferum (opium poppy) is the source of this 1302-nucleotide long non-coding RNA. RefSeq lists it as uncharacterized. The transcript is spliced from 2 exons. NCBI's taxonomy places the organism in Eukaryota, Viridiplantae, Streptophyta, Magnoliopsida, Ranunculales, Papaveraceae. The record is from RefSeq and is a predicted model, not a curated record.